GAGAGUUCAAGAGGGCGUGAAACCGCUUGGAAGCAAACGGAUGGACCUGACGGAGAGUCACUGGGAUUCAGCCCUCUGCUGUACCCCAGCCUGCUGGCUGAUCUUCUGACAGCCUAGUGGGUGUUGGUGUGCUCAGUGGGUGCAUUUCCUGGUGAUGCGCAUCAGAGCCUGUGAUGGCGCUGGAGUCAGGGUGGAUGCUUGCCGGCCAACUUCGGUUGGUGUCCCAGCACUGCCCAAAACCGAGUCGCUGUUACAGGGCUUUUGGAGGUGCCCGCCCUACUCUAAGAGGCUGGGGGCUUGUCCAGAUCAACUGUGAGGUUGUGCUUGCACGGCUUUGCGACCCCUGGGUGAGUCAUUGGCCCAUUUAGAGCAGGUGCCUUUCUCUGGUGUUUUAGUCAGUCACCCAUCCGACCCGUCUUGAAACACGGACCAAGGAGUCUAACAUGUGCGCGAGUCACUGGGUCGCAAAACCCAAGGGCGCAAUGAAAGUAAAGUUCAGUUCGGCUGAACGACAUGGGACCCUUCCCUUUGACGGGGAGGUGCACCAUGGUCCCGUCUAUGCUGCAUUGCCAGCUGGGCGGAGAUAGAGCGUACACGUUGGGACCCGAAAGAUGGU
Molecule: ribosomal RNA, 616 nt
Filed under: Draconematidae sp. 726_8-1500_A
Lineage: Eukaryota; Metazoa; Nematoda; Chromadorea; Desmodorida; Draconematidae
Description: eukaryotic LSU rRNA
Rfam family: Eukaryotic large subunit ribosomal RNA
Source: RNAcentral